CCUACGGGAGGCAGCAGUGGGGAAUCUUGCGCAAUGGGCGAAAGCCUGACGCAGCAACGCCGCGUGCGGGAAGAAGGCUUUCGGGCUGUAAACCGCUUUCAGCAGGAACGAAAAUGACGGUACCUGCAGAAGAAGGAGCGGCCAACUAUGUGCCAGCAGCCGCGGUGAUACAUAGGCUUCAAGCGUUGUCCGGAUUUAUUGGGCGUAAAGAGUUCGUAGGCGGUCAAGUAAGUCGGGUGUGAAAAUUCUGGGCUCAACCCAGAGACGCCACCCGAUACUGCUUAACUUGAGUUCGAUAGGGGAGUGGGGAAUUCCUAGUGUAGCGGUGAAAUGCGCAGAUAUUAGGAGGAACACCGGUGGCGAAGGCGCCACUCUGGAUCGAUACUGACGCUGAGGAACGAAAGCAUGGGUAGCAAACAGGAUUAGAUACCCUGGUAGUCCAUGCCGUAAACGGUGGGCACUAGGUGUGGGUUUCUAUUAACGAAAUCCGCGCCGUCGCUAACGCAUUAAGUGCCCCGCCUGGGGAGUACGGUCGCAAGCUAAAACUCAAAGGAAUUGACGGCUGNGAGUGCGAGCGACGACGAGGAGAG
Molecule: ribosomal RNA, 590 nt
Filed under: uncultured bacterium
Lineage: Bacteria
Description: bacterial SSU rRNA
Rfam family: Bacterial small subunit ribosomal RNA
Source: RNAcentral